UCUAAUUUUGGUGCCAUGUGUACCUUGC
This 28-nucleotide non-coding RNA is filed under the name Mus musculus (house mouse). The record is from RNAcentral. Lineage: Eukaryota; Metazoa; Chordata; Mammalia; Rodentia; Muridae.